RNAcentral lists this ribosomal RNA (479 nucleotides) under uncultured bacterium. Its description in RNAcentral is "partial 16S ribosomal RNA". It matches the Rfam family "Bacterial small subunit ribosomal RNA", at positions 28 to 523 of the family's 1533-position model. The record is from RNAcentral.
GACGAACGCUGGCGGCGUGCUUAACACAUGCAAGUCGAGCGAUGAAGCACCUGCGGGUGUGAAUUAGCGGCGAACGGGUGAGGAACACGUGAGAAAUCUGCCUUCAACACUGGGAUAACUCCGGGAAACCGGGGCUAAUACCGGAUAUGAAACCUGCGGGCAUCUGCGGGUUUGGAAAGUUUUUCGGUUGAAGAUGAUCUCGCGGCCUACCAGCUUGUUGGUGAGGUAAUGGCUCACCAAGGCGACGACGGGUAGCCGGCCUGAGAGGGCGACCGGCCAGACUGGGAGUGGGACGCGGCCCAGACUCCUACGGGGGGCGGCAGUGGGGAAUAUUGGGCAAUGGAGGAAACUCUGACCCAGCGACGCCGCGUGCGGGAUGAAGGCCUUCGGGUUGUAAACCGCUUUCAGCAGGGAAGAAGCGAAAGUGACGGUACCUGCAGAAGAAGCACCGGCUAACUAUGUGCCAGCCGCCGCCGUAA